UGAGUGAUGAAGGCUUUCGGGUCGUAAAACUCUGUUGUUAGGGAAGAACAAGUGCUAGUUGAAUAAGCUGGCACCUUGACGGUACCUAACCAGAAAGCCACGGCUAACUACGUGCCAGCAGCCGCGGUAAUACGUAGGUGGCAAGCGUUAUCCGGAAUUAUUGGGCGUAAAGCGCGCGCAGGUGGUUUCUUAAGUCUGAUGUGAAAGCCCACGGCUCAACCGUGGAGGGUCAUUGGAAACUGGGAGACUUGAGUGCAGAAGAGGAAAGUGGAAUUCCAUGUGUAGCGGUGAAAUGCGUAGAGAUAUGGAGGAACACCAGUGGCGAAGGCGACUUUCUGGUCUGUAACUGACACUGAGGCGCGAAAGCGUGGGGAGCAAACAGGAUUAGAUACCCUGGUAGUCCACGCCGUAAACGAUGAGUGCUAAGUGGUAGAGGGUUUCCGCCCUUUAGUGCUGAAGUUAACGCAUUAAGCACUCCGCCCGGGGGAGUACGGCCGCAAGGCUGAAACUCAAAGGAAUUGACGGGGGCCCGCACAAGCGGUGGAACAUGUGGUUUAAUUCGAAGCAACGCGAAGAACCUUACCAGGUCUUGACAUCCUCUGAAAACCCUAGAGAUAGGGCUUCUCCUUCGGGAGCAGAGUGACAGGUGGUGCAUGGUUGUCGUCAGCUCGUGUCGUGAGAUGUUUGGGUUAAGUCCCGCAACGAGCGCAACCCUUGAUCUUAGUUGCCAUCAUUAAGUUGGGCACUCUAAGGUGACUGCCGGUGACAA
RNAcentral lists this ribosomal RNA (769 nucleotides) under Bacillus mobilis. RNAcentral describes it as "bacterial SSU rRNA". It matches the Rfam family "Bacterial small subunit ribosomal RNA", at positions 402 to 1161 of the family's 1533-position model. The record is from RNAcentral. Lineage: Bacteria; Bacillati; Bacillota; Bacilli; Caryophanales; Bacillaceae.